UAUCGCACUCGCUGAUUUAC
This 20-nucleotide small nuclear RNA is filed under the name Arabidopsis thaliana (thale cress). Its description in RNAcentral is "snRNA_06000". The record is from RNAcentral. Lineage: Eukaryota; Viridiplantae; Streptophyta; Magnoliopsida; Brassicales; Brassicaceae.